Molecule: unclassified non-coding RNA, 371 nt
Filed under: uncultured bacterium
Lineage: Bacteria
Description: contains 16S-23S intergenic spacer region
Source: RNAcentral
UCCGGCUCAACGCCGGCAGUCUCUCUAGAGUCCCCACCAUUACGUGCUGGCAACUAGAAACGGGGGUUGCGCUCGUUGCGGGACUUAACCCAACACCUCACGGCACGAGCUGACGACAGCCAUGCACCACCUGUCAGGGGCCCUUACGGACACCGUAUCUCUGCGGCUUUUCCCCUGAUGUCAAGCCCUGGUAAGGUUCUUCGCGUUGCAUCGAAUUGAGCCACAUGCUCCACCGCUUGUGCGGGCCCCCGCCAAUUCCUUUGAGUUUCAACCUUGCGGCCGUAGUCCCCAGGCGGUUCACUUAAUGCGUUAGCUGCGGCACCGAGGGUAACCCCCGACACCUAGUGAACAUCGUUUAUGGCCAAGACUAC